GCAAGUCGAGCGGAAACGACACUAACAAUCCUUCGGGUGCGUUAAUGGGCGUCGAGCGGCGGACGGGUGAGUAAUGCCUAGGGAACUGCCCAGUCGAGGGGGAUAACAGUUGGAAACGACUGCUAAUACCGCAUACGACCUACGGGUGAAAGGGGGCCUCUUCUUGAAAGCUCUCGCGACUGGAUGAGCCCAAGUGGGAUUAGCUUGUUGGUGAGGUAAGAGCUCACCAAGGCGACGAUCCCUAGCUGGUCUGAGAGGAUGAUC
This 264-nucleotide ribosomal RNA is filed under the name uncultured bacterium. RNAcentral describes it as "partial 16S ribosomal RNA". It matches the Rfam family "Bacterial small subunit ribosomal RNA", at positions 57 to 305 of the family's 1533-position model. The record is from RNAcentral.